CAAUAGCGUAUAUUAAAGUUGUUGCAGUUAAAAAGCUCGUAGUUGAAUUUUUGCUUGCCGCCGAUGUCGGAACUUCCGUACGUUCGGCGGCGUGCAUCCUUGGGUGGAACCUGUGUGGCAUUAGGUUGUCGUGCAGGGGAUGCUCAUUGUUUACUGUGAAAAAAUUAGAGUGUUCAAAGCAGGCUUACGCCGUUGAAUAUAUUAGCAUGGAAUAAUAAGAUAGGACCUUGGUACUAUUUUGUUGGUUUGCGCACCGAGGUAAUGAUUAACAGGGACAGUUGGGGGUAUUCGUAUUCCAUUGUCAGGGGUGAAAUUCUUGGAUUUCUGGAAGACGAACUACUGCGAAAGCAUUUACCAAGGAUGUUUNCAUUA
This 372-nucleotide ribosomal RNA is filed under the name uncultured eukaryote. RNAcentral describes it as "partial 18S ribosomal RNA". It matches the Rfam family "Eukaryotic small subunit ribosomal RNA", at positions 592 to 975 of the family's 1831-position model. The record is from RNAcentral.